This 492-nucleotide ribosomal RNA is filed under the name uncultured bacterium. RNAcentral describes it as "partial 16S ribosomal RNA". It matches the Rfam family "Bacterial small subunit ribosomal RNA", at positions 29 to 507 of the family's 1533-position model. The record is from RNAcentral.
AGUGAACGCUGGCGGUAGGCCUAACACAUGCAAGUCGAACGGCAGCACAGUAAGAGCUUGCUCUUACGGGUGGCGAGUGGCGGACGGGUGAGGAAUACAUCGGAAUCUACUUUUUCGUGGGGGAUAACGUAGGGAAACUUACGCUAAUACCGCAUACGACCUACGGGUGAAAGCAGGGGUUCUUCGGACCUUGCGCGAUUGAAUGAGCCGAUGUCGGAUUAGCUAGUUGGCGGGGUAAAGGCCCACCAAGGCGACGAUCCGUAGCUGGUCUGAGAGGAUGAUCAGCCACCGUGGAACUGAGACAAGGUCCAGACUCCUACGAGAGGCAGCAGUGGGGAAUAUUGGACAAUGGGCGCAAGCCUGAUCCAGCCAUACCGCGUGGGUGAAGAAGGCCUUCGGGUUGUAAAGCCCUUUUGUUGGGAAAGAAAAGCAGCAGGUUAAUACCCCGCUGUUCUGACGUUACCCAAAGAAUAAGCACCGGCUAACUUCGUG